Molecule: ribosomal RNA, 215 nt
Filed under: uncultured bacterium
Lineage: Bacteria
Description: partial 16S ribosomal RNA
Rfam family: Bacterial small subunit ribosomal RNA
Source: RNAcentral
UCUCAGUUCGGACUGCAGGCUGCAACUCGCCUGCACGAAGUUGGAAUUGCUAGUAAUCGUGGAUCAGCAUGCCACGGUGAAUACGUUCCCGGGUCUUGUACACACCGCCCGUCACACCAUGGGAGCCGGUAAUACCCGAAGUCAGUAGUCUAACCGCAAGGAGGACGCUGCCGAAGGUAGGAUUGGCGACUGGGGUGAAGUCGUAACAAGGUAUC